Octopus sinensis (East Asian common octopus) is the source of this 365-nucleotide long non-coding RNA. RefSeq lists it as uncharacterized. The record is from RefSeq and is a predicted model, not a curated record. The transcript is spliced from 2 exons. NCBI's taxonomy places the organism in Eukaryota, Metazoa, Mollusca, Cephalopoda, Octopoda, Octopodidae.
AUACAUACAUACACACACACACACACACACACACAUAUAUAUAUAUAUAUAUAUUGGUUCAUAGAAAUAAUUCAAGGAGUCUAAAGUUCAAGUAAAGGAAAUAGUACCAAAAAUUCUUUAUGCAUCUUUAUGCACACAAAAACUUCUGCACAUUUUCAGAAAUAGUUGUACACCAUAUCCUUCUUCCUCUGAAGCAUUGUUCCACUAGAUAUCCUACAACAGACCCCACCACCCCCACCCUGCUGUAUAUGUCUUUUCCUCAGCUAUCAAUUAACAAGCCAUUUCAACCCCCAGCAAUCUUCAGUCAUGAAGCCAAGGGGGUGGGGGUCAAAUCCCCUAUCCUUCGUCCACCAUAUGAGACCAAU